This 233-nucleotide ribosomal RNA is filed under the name Salmonella enterica subsp. enterica serovar Agona str. 400095 17. RNAcentral describes it as "partial 23S ribosomal RNA". It matches the Rfam family "Bacterial large subunit ribosomal RNA", at positions 1 to 235 of the family's 2925-position model. Lineage: Bacteria; Pseudomonadati; Pseudomonadota; Gammaproteobacteria; Enterobacterales; Enterobacteriaceae. The record is from RNAcentral.
GGUUAAGCGACUAAGCGUACACGGUGGAUGCCCUGGCAGUCAGAGGCGAUGAAGGGCGUGCUAAUCUGCGAUAAGCGCCGGUAAGGUGAUAUGAACCGUUAUAACCGGCGAUACCCGAAUGGGGAAACCCAGUGUGAUUCGUCACACUAUCAUUAACUGAAUCCAUAGGUUAAUGAGGCGAACCGGGGGAACUGAAACAUCUAAGUACCCCGAGGAAAGAAAUCAACCGAGAU